GGGCCAUCAGACUUCUUCCUCUGAUGCAGAGCUCCGCAGAGGUGCUGCAUGGAACAGCCAAUCCCAGGUGGACCUGUGGUCCAGAAAGCGCAGAGCUGUGCAUGGUGGCCCCAAGCCUGCCAAGGUAGGAAACUCACUGCGGAAACAAGAUUUUGUGAGAUGCUUUGAGAGCUUUUCCUGUGAGAACAGCACCUCCCUCUGCUUUCCUGGCCAAAGCCAUCCCCAGAGGGGACACUUUUCUUCAGGUGUCUCCAGACAUGAGCAGCUUCUCUAUGAUAGAGGCUUGGGCAGCAAUCGUCAAGGAAAUAAAAAGUUCACCUUGGGGCCAGCCAGGCAGAAACAUCAGCACUUUCUCCUCUACCUGGCUGCAAGAUGAGAGCUACAGAACCUCGGGACUGAUUUUAGAGCCACUCCCUGGACAUCUAAAAGAAAACACAACUGCUCUUGUUCUGCUGGUGAGAGCAUUGCUCCGAGGAGGUGCCCGCUGCCCCCCGUGCCGCAGCUCACCCCACUGUGUGCGGAG
Long non-coding RNA from Pogoniulus pusillus (Red-fronted tinkerbird), 523 nucleotides. RefSeq lists it as uncharacterized. Lineage: Eukaryota; Metazoa; Chordata; Aves; Piciformes; Lybiidae. The record is from RefSeq and is a predicted model, not a curated record. The transcript is spliced from 3 exons.